UCCCUGGUGGCUCAAAUGGUUAAGAAUCUGCCUGCCAAGCAGGAGAUGCAGGUUCGAUCCCUCCGUUGGGAA
RNAcentral lists this transfer RNA (72 nucleotides) under Bos taurus (domestic cattle). It matches the Rfam family "tRNA". From Rfam's summary of the family: Transfer RNA (tRNA) molecules are approximately 80 nucleotides in length. Their secondary structure includes four short double-helical elements and three loops (D, anti-codon, and T loops). Further hydrogen bonds mediate the characteristic L-shaped molecular structure. tRNAs have two regions of fundamental functional importance: the anti-codon, which is responsible for specific mRNA codon recognition, and the 3' end, to which the tRNAs corresponding amino acid is attached (by aminoacyl-tRNA synthetases). tRNAs cope with the degeneracy of the genetic code in two manners: having more than one tRNA (with a specific anti-codon) for a particular amino acid; and 'wobble' base-pairing, i.e. permitting non-standard base-pairing at the 3rd anti-codon position. Lineage: Eukaryota; Metazoa; Chordata; Mammalia; Artiodactyla; Bovidae. The record is from Rfam by way of RNAcentral. RNAcentral also lists the same sequence under 2 other names.